AGAAGGAGACCUGAGGAAGCCACAUGGAGCAGCAAGCAUACUCUAGCAUAUAGAGAGUCAUGUCUGUACUUUUCAGAUUACAUCAUACUAAAAACAGACGAAAAGAUUUAACAAAGCCACACACCAAAAAACCCUGUUCUCGCUACCAACUGAAGAAAGAAAAUUUUGUCAAUAGUUGAAUUUUCCCUGGUACUUCCCACCACCUUCUCCGACCUUCUCAGAGGUCUUAGGUGUAUAGCCAACUAAUUUUCAACAAAGGAGUCAAAAGCAAACAAUGGAACCAGUCAAGUCUCCUCAACAAAUGUGUUGUGAAAACCAAACAACCACAUGCAAAAGAAAGAAACUACAUGGUUGCAUAAAAAUUAGUUCAAAGUAGAUUGAAGACUUAGAUAUAAGGACUAAAGCAUUAAAAUAAAUAGAAGCAAAUAUAGACAAUACACUCUAUGCCAUUGAUCUUAGUGAUGUGUUUGGGGUCUUGAUUCCAACAAAAACAAAAAUAAGCAAAUGAGACUACAUAAAACUAAAAAAAAAAAAACAA
Long non-coding RNA from Condylura cristata (star-nosed mole), 538 nucleotides. RefSeq lists it as uncharacterized. Lineage: Eukaryota; Metazoa; Chordata; Mammalia; Eulipotyphla; Talpidae. The record is from RefSeq and is a predicted model, not a curated record. The transcript has 3 exons.